This is a long non-coding RNA of Oncorhynchus keta (chum salmon), 1411 nucleotides long. RefSeq lists it as uncharacterized. Lineage: Eukaryota; Metazoa; Chordata; Actinopteri; Salmoniformes; Salmonidae. The record is from RefSeq and is a predicted model, not a curated record. The transcript has 3 exons.
GUAUGAGUCCUGGUACCUGCGGGACUUGACCCAAUCCACCAACAGGAACGAGCUGAUCAUCCACUUUCUGCUGAUGGAGCUUGAAACAGUGGGGAAUAUUUGGUUUGAAGAAGACUACUCUACCGACCCCUGGUUUACUUCCUUCCGGUUCUGUGUGUAGGACUACAAGGCUUAUGGCAUUACUGGCAUCAAGAUCAACAGUAUCAUCCAUAUCUGCUCCCUGCGGCUUUGCUUCGAGGACAAGCAUCAUACCCUGUUGGCCAGCGAGGAGUUGACAAUGUUCUCGCAUAAUUACAAACGCUGGCUGGAGUAUCUGUUCUAUGUGUCUGAUCUUGAAAGAACCAGUAAGAAAAAAGGAGACGUUGCACAUUCCAGAGGACGGCUUUAAAACAGCAGAUAUUUAUAAGGUAUUAUUUAGAUUGUACGCUAUGCCUGGGAUUGGGCCAUUGUUUUAGUGCCUGUGAUUGGGCCAUUGUUUUAGUGCCUGUGAUUGGGCCAUUGUUUUAGUUCCUGUGAUUGGGCCAUUGUUUUAGUGCCUGUGAUUGGGCCAUUGUUUUAGUGCCUGUGAUUGGGCCAUUGUUUUAGUGCCUGUGAUUGGGCCAUUGUUUUAGUUCCAGAGAUUGUGCCAUUGUUUUAGUGCCUGAGAAUGUACCUUGUGUCUGUGUUAGGCCCUGGGCAGAGAGAGGGUUGUACUCUUUUCUAACAGCUGGAGUGUGACGGACAGGCCUAGGAGUACACACAGUGACAGGCCUAGGAGUACACACAGCGACAGACCUAGGAGUACACACAGUGACAGGCCUAGGAGUACAUACAGUGACAGGCCUAGGAGUACACACAGUGACAGGCCUAGGAGUACAUACAGUGACAGGCCUAGGAGUACACACAGUGACAGGCCUAGGAGUACACACAGUGACAGGCCUAGGAGUACACACAGUGACAGGCCUAGGAGUACACACAGUGACAGGCCUAGGAGUACACACAGUGACAGGCCUAGGAUUACACACAGUGACAGGCCUAGGAGUACACACAGUGACAGGCCUAGGAUUACACACAGUGACAGGCCUAGGAGUACACACAGUGACAGGCCUAGGAGUACACACAGUGACAGGCCUAGGAGUACACACAGUGACAGGCCUAAGAGUACACACAGUGACAGGCCUAGGAGUACACACAGUGACAGGCCUAGGAGUACACACAGUGACAGGCCUAGGAGUACAUACAGUGACAGGCCUAGGAGUACACACAGUGACAGGCCUAGGAGUACACACAGUGACAGGCCAACGAAGGUACCUCCAAGCAGAUCAUAGACCCUCUCCUUUUCAGACACGGUCUGUAUGGUCCUAUUUCAUGUUUCACACAAUUCAAUGACUUUGUAUUGCUAAUUAAACCUUGAGGAUAUAAAUCAGGAUAA